UUAAGCGACUAAGCGUACACGGUGGAUGCCCUGGCAGUCAGAGGCGAUGAAGGGCGUGCUAAUCUGCGAUAAGCGCCGGUAAGGUGAUAUGAACCGUUAUAACCGGCGAUACCCGAAUGGGGAAACCCAGUGUGAUUCGUCACACUAUCAUUAACUGAAUCCAUAGGUUAAUGAGGCGAACCGGGGGAACUGAAACAUCUAAGUACCCCGAGGAAAAGAAAUCAACCGAGAUUCCCCCAGUAGCGGCGAGCGAACGGGGAGGAGCCCAGAGCCUGAAUCAGCAUGUGUGUUAGUGGAAGCGUCUGGAAAGGCGCGCGAUACAGGGUGACAGCCCCGUACACAAAAGCGCAUAUGCUGUGAGCUCGAUGAGUAGGGCGGGACACGUGGUAUCCUGUCUGAAUAUGGGGGGACCAUCCUCCAAGGCUAAAUACUCCUGACUGACCGAUAGUGAACCAGUACCGUGAGGGAAAGGCGAAAAGAACCCCGGCGAGGGGAGUGAAAAAGAACCUGAAACCGUGUACGUACAAGCAGUGGGAGCACAGGUUUACCUGUGUGACUGCGUACCUUUUGUAUAAUGGGUCAGCGACUUAUAUUCUGUAGCAAGGUUAACCGUAUAGGGGAGCCGGAGGGAAACCGAGUCUUAAUUGGGCGUUAAGUUGCAGGGUAUAGACCCGAAACCCGGUGAUCUAGCCAUGGGCAGGUUGAAGGUUGGGUAACACUAACUGGAGGACCGAACCGACUAAUGUUGAAAAAUUAGCGGAUGACCUGUGGCUGGGGGUGAAAGGCCAAUCAAACCGGGAGAUAGCUGGUUCUCCCCGAAAGCUAUUUAGGUAGCGCCUCGUGAAUUCAUCUCCGGGGGUAGAGCACUGUUUCGGCUAGGGGGCCAUCCCGGCUUACCAACCCGAUGCAAACUGCGAAUACCGGAGAAUGUUAUCACGGGAGACACACGGCGGGUGCUAACGUCCGUCGUGAAGAGGGAAACAACCCAGACCGCCAGCUAAGGUCCCAAAGUCAUGGUUAAGUGGGAAACGAUGUGGGAAGGCCCAGACAGCCAGGAUGUUGGCUUAGAAGCAGCCAUCAUUUAAAGAAAGCGUAAUAGCUCACUGGUCGAGUCGGCCUGCGCGGAAGAUGUAACGGGGCUAAACCAUGCACCGAAGCUGCGGCAGCGACACUGUGUGUUGUUGGGUAGGGGAGCGUUCUGUAAGCCUGUGAAGGUGGCCUGUGAGGGUUGCUGGAGGUAUCAGAAGUGCGAAUGCUGACAUAAGUAACGAUAAAGCGGGUGAAAAGCCCGCUCGCCGGAAGACCAAGGGUUCCUGUCCAACGUUAAUCGGGGCAGGGUGAGUCGACCCCUAAGGCGAGGCCGAAAGGCGUAGUCGAUGGGAAACGGGUUAAUAUUCCCGUACUUGGUGUUACUGCGAAGGGGGGACGGAGAAGGCUAUGUUGGCCGGGCGACGGUUGUCCCGGUUUAAGCGUGUAGGUGUGUGUUCCAGGUAAAUCCGGUUCACUUUAACACUGAGGCGUGACGACGAGGCACUACGGUGCUGAAGCAACAAAUGCCCUGCUUCCAGGAAAAGCCUCUAAGCAUCAGGUAACAUCAAAUCGUACCCCAAACCGACACAGGUGGUCAGGUAGAGAAUACCAAGGCGCUUGAGAGAACUCGGGUGAAGGAACUAGGCAAAAUGGUGCCGUAACUUCGGGAGAAGGCACGCUGACACGUAGGUGAAGUGAUUUACUCAUGGAGCUGAAGUCAGUCGAAGAUACCAGCUGGCUGCAACUGUUUAUUAAAAACACAGCACUGUGCAAACACGAAAGUGGACGUAUACGGUGUGACGCCUGCCCGGUGCCGGAAGGUUAAUUGAUGGGGUCAGCGCAAGCGAAGCUCCUGAUCGAAGCCCCGGUAAACGGCGGCCGUAACUAUAACGGUCCUAAGGUAGCGAAAUUCCUUGUCGGGUAAGUUCCGACCUGCACGAAUGGCGUAAUGAUGGCCAGGCUGUCUCCACCCGAGACUCAGUGAAAUUGAACUCGCUGUGAAGAUGCAGUGUACCCGCGGCAAGACGGAAAGACCCCGUGAACCUUUACUAUAGCUUGACACUGAACAUUGAGCCUUGAUGUGUAGGAUAGGUGGGAGGCUUUGAAGUGUGGACGCCAGUCUGCAUGGAGCCGACCUUGAAAUACCACCCUUUAAUGUUUGAUGUUCUAACGUGGACCCGUAAUCCGGGUUGCGGACAGUGUCUGGUGGGUAGUUUGACUGGGGCGGUCUCCUCCUAAAGAGUAACGGAGGAGCACGAAGGUUGGCUAAUCCUGGUCGGACAUCAGGAGGUUAGUGCAAUGGCAUAAGCCAGCUUGACUGCGAGCGUGACGGCGCGAGCAGGUGCGAAAGCAGGUCAUAGUGAUCCGGUGGUUCUGAAUGGAAGGGCCAUCGCUCAACGGAUAAAAGGUACUCCGGGGAUAACAGGCUGAUACCGCCCAAGAGUUCAUAUCGACGGCGGUGUUUGGCACCUCGAUGUCGGCUCAUCACAUCCUGGGGCUGAAGUAGGUCCCAAGGGUAUGGCUGUUCGCCAUUUAAAGUGGUACGCGAGCUGGGUUUAGAACGUCGUGAGACAGUUCGGUCCCUAUCUGCCGUGGGCGCUGGAGAACUGAGGGGGGCUGCUCCUAGUACGAGAGGACCGGAGUGGACGCAUCACUGGUGUUCGGGUUGUCAUGCCAAUGGCACUGCCCGGUAGCUAAAUGCGGAAGAGAUAAGUGCUGAAAGCAUCUAAGCACGAAACUUGCCCCGAGAUGAGUUCUCCCUGAGACUUAGAGUCUCCUGAAGGAACGUUGAAGACGACGACGUUGAUAGGCCGGGUGUGUAAGCGCAGCGAUGCGUUGAGCUAACCGGUACUAAUGAACCGUGAGGCUUAACCUU
This 2905-nucleotide ribosomal RNA is filed under the name Salmonella enterica subsp. enterica serovar Senftenberg. RNAcentral describes it as "bacterial LSU rRNA". It matches the Rfam family "Bacterial large subunit ribosomal RNA". Lineage: Bacteria; Pseudomonadati; Pseudomonadota; Gammaproteobacteria; Enterobacterales; Enterobacteriaceae. The record is from RNAcentral.